GUGAAUCAUCAAAUUUUUGAACGCAAAUUGCACUCUCUUCUACGCCUGAGAGUAUUUCUGUUUGAGGGUAAGAAUAAAUAAAAAGCGGUGUGUUUGCUGCCUCUCGUGGUGACGCACCGGAUGUGGUUCGUCUUUCCGUCUGUAAAGUGACAUAAAAUUUUGCAUGAUUUUUUCGAACGUAUUUAAAUGAUUUUACGUACGGUUUCGAUAUCUAAUACUAGAUUUGGGCAUCCUCAUGAUUCGCUCCUAUAAUUUCUCUUCAAAAUGACCUCAAAUCAGGUAUGAGUACACG
RNAcentral lists this unclassified non-coding RNA (292 nucleotides) under Glomus sp. RNAcentral describes it as "partial internal transcribed spacer 2". The stretch from base 1 to 71 matches the Rfam family "5.8S ribosomal RNA", at positions 84 to 154 of the family's 154-position model. Lineage: Eukaryota; Fungi; Glomeromycota; Glomeromycetes; Glomerales; Glomeraceae. The record is from RNAcentral.